Arachis ipaensis is the source of this 973-nucleotide non-coding RNA. NCBI's taxonomy places the organism in Eukaryota, Viridiplantae, Streptophyta, Magnoliopsida, Fabales, Fabaceae. The record is from RefSeq and is a predicted model, not a curated record.
UCUUUCCUCCCCGUACUUCAAAUGUGUACCUCCCACCAAUUAUUCAAACUCGACACACUCAAAAACGAAGAAAAAGAGAAAAAAGAUUCAGAAGAGAAGAAACGAAGACCAUCACCACCAUCAUGAAGCUUGUUUGGUCUCCAGAAACUGCUUCUAAAGCUUACAUAGACACUGUUAAAUCGUGUGAGAAAUUGAAGGAAUCUGGGGUAGCUGAGCUCCUAUCAGCCAUGGCGGCCGGUUGGAACGCGAAAUUCAUCGUGGAAUCGUGGUGCCACGGCGGCCCCAUAGCGACAAGCGUAGGCCUAGCAGUUGCGGCUCGCAACACCGGUGCAAGGCACGUGUGCAUAGUCCCGGACGAAAUCUCAAGGCUAAAGUACACACAAUCAAUGGCGGAGAUGGGGGUGGCGCCGCCUCCGGAGGUGGUAAUCGCGGGGUCGGCGGAGGCGGCGAUAGGUGGACUGGUGGGAUUGGACUUUCUUGUGGUGGAUUGCAAGCAAAGGGACUUUGCUAGGGUUCUUAGGGUUGCUAGGGUUAGCAAUAGAGGUGCAGUUUUGGCAUGCAAGAAUGCAUGGCAAAUGAGUAAUAAUUGGAACAAUCUUUCAAGGUUUAGAUGGAACGUUGUUCUUGAAAAGGGGACACGUGUCGUUAGAUCCGUGUUCUUGCCUGUUGGCAAGGGUUUGGAUAUUGCUUACAUAGGCAGCAAAAGUGGUGGCGGUGGUGCUGGCGGCGGCAGUGGCAGUGGCAGCAGCCCCGACGGCGGUGCAUCAAGUGGUAGAAAGGGUCCUAGCCGUUGGAUCAGGCACAUAGAUCAACAAUCAGGGGAGGAACACCUUUUCAGAGAGUGAUUAUUAUUAUUAUACUAUUGAUCAUCAAUAUAUGUAUGUUAACAAGGUUGGAAACAAAUAAAUAAAUUUGUAAAUUAAACAUAUAUCAUCAUAUAUUAUAUGAACUAUGGAGUAGUAUUUUUUAUGAA